Molecule: long non-coding RNA, 480 nt
Organism: Pipistrellus kuhlii (Kuhl's pipistrelle)
Lineage: Eukaryota; Metazoa; Chordata; Mammalia; Chiroptera; Vespertilionidae
Exons: 4
Source: RefSeq, a predicted model, not a curated record
GCCAGUGCAGCCUCAGGCCCCUGGCUCCGCCGGAUCUGUUCUCAGCCCGAAGGCCAAGGUCUCGGAGCGCAGUGUCCCCCAGAGGCCUCUGCAAAGGUAGGCGUGCCGGCUCCUCUCGUUCCUACCUAAGUAACUGUUAGCAGGAACAGGAACUAGACUUUCAUCAUGGUCAGUCUCUCCGCCAACUUCAUAAGGCCCAUCUUCAAAGAUGUUCAUGUCAAAAAAAGUGUUAUUCUUUUGUUCUACGCGCACAAUCCCUGAAGGAAUGAGAUGGUAAAAAGAACAACAACAAAAGUGAAGAUGAAACAAAAUAAAACAGAUGGAUCCUAAUAAAACAUUCCUCAUGUUAUCCCACUAAGUACAGCAAGGAAAGUUAGGAGGAAGAAAAGGCAGGAAAAAAGAAAUGACUUUUGAGGUUUUGAAGUUAAAAAAUCAUGCUCAUGUAAAUUUUUACGUCAAAGAAAGUUGUUCUAGUAAUAA